CCAAACAGCCAACCGGCAAGUGUACCCUACGGUCACGCCUUUCACCGGAACUUUUUUGAGACCCGAGGGGCCAAAACUGUGGCACGAUACACGUAAUUCAGCUACCUCACUUGGUCUAGACUGAUUCCUAACAACAUUAUACAAUGACAACCCCAAAGGCAAGUGAAAGAACUCAUCAACAUCAAUGAAUCCAACNGGUCUAGACUGAUUCCUAACAACAUUAUACAAUGACAACCCCAAAGGCAAGUGAAAGAACUCAUCAACAUCAAUGAAUCCAACCCAUUCACACGAAUCCCUAGCACGCAGUGCACAAUGCGCAAACCCUGCCUCUUGAGUCUUGAUCCAAGGCCACACG
RNAcentral lists this long non-coding RNA (355 nucleotides) under Olea europaea (common olive). RNAcentral's name for it is "long non-coding RNA (OEUR_LNC003318)". The record is from RNAcentral. Lineage: Eukaryota; Viridiplantae; Streptophyta; Magnoliopsida; Lamiales; Oleaceae.